RNAcentral lists this ribosomal RNA (437 nucleotides) under uncultured Propionibacterium sp. Its description in RNAcentral is "bacterial SSU rRNA". It matches the Rfam family "Bacterial small subunit ribosomal RNA", at positions 958 to 1393 of the family's 1533-position model. The record is from RNAcentral. Lineage: Bacteria; Bacillati; Actinomycetota; Actinomycetes; Propionibacteriales; Propionibacteriaceae.
AACGCGAAGAACCUUACCUGGGUUUGACAUGGAUCGGGAGUGCUCAGAGAUGGGUGUGCCUCUUUUGGGGUCGGUUCACAGGUGGUGCAUGGCUGUCGUCAGCUCGUGUCGUGAGAUGUUGGGUUAAGUCCCGCAACGAGCGCAACCCUUGUUCACUGUUGCCAGCACGUUAUGGUGGGGACUCAGUGGAGACCGCCGGGGUCAACUCGGAGGAAGGUGGGGAUGACGUCAAGUCAUCAUGCCCCUUAUGUCCAGGGCUUCACGCAUGCUACAAUGGCUGGUACAGAGAGUGGCGAGCCUGUGAGGGUGAGCGAAUCUCGGAAAGCCGGUCUCAGUUCGGAUUGGGGUCUGCAACUCGACCUCAUGAAGUCGGAGUCGCUAGUAAUCGCAGAUCAGCAACGCUGCGGUGAAUACGUUCCCGGGUCUUGUACACACGC